AGAGGGGGCAAGCGUUGCUCGGAAUCACUGGGCGUAAAGGGCGCGUAGGCGGGAGGCCAAGUCGGUCGUGAAAUCUCCGGGCUCAACCCGGAGGGGUCGGCCGAAACUGGUUUUCUUGAGGGAGGCAGAGGAGUCUGGAAUUCCCGGUGUAGCGGUGAAAUGUGUAGAGAUCGGGAGGAACACCGGUGGCGAAGGCGGGACUCUGGGCCUACCCUGACGCUGAGGCGCGAAGGCGUGGGGAGCAAACGGGAUUAGAUACCCCGGUAGUCCACGCGGUAAACGAUGACGACUAGGUGUGGGGGGGUUCAGUCCCUUCCGUGCCGCAGCUAACGCAUUAAGUCGUCCGCCUGGGGAGUACGGCCGCAAGGUUGAA
This 373-nucleotide ribosomal RNA is filed under the name uncultured bacterium. RNAcentral describes it as "bacterial SSU rRNA". It matches the Rfam family "Bacterial small subunit ribosomal RNA", at positions 527 to 898 of the family's 1533-position model. The record is from RNAcentral.